GAUGAACGCUGGCGGCGUGCUUAACACAUGCAAGUCGAACGGAGAGGCCACAGCUUUCGUUGGGACGGGAGUGUGGAACAGGGGAGUGAAACGUGUGUGAUCUGCGCUGUACUUCUUGGGAAGCUGGGGGAACUGGGGCGAAUAUCGUAGAGAAAUACCGAUUUUGGGUUGGGGGGGGAUGCUUUGGCGGUAUGGGGUGAGAUCGCGGCCUGUCAGCUUGCUGGUGGGGUGUUGGGCUACCAAGGCGUCGACGGGUAGCCGGCCUGAGAGGGUGUACGGCCACAUUGGGACUGAGAUACGGCCCAGACUGCUACGGGAGGCAGCAGUGGGGAAUAUUGCACAAUGGGCGCAAGCCUGAUGCAGCGAAGCGGCGUGGGGGAUGACGGCCCUCGGGUUGCAAACUCCUUUCGCCAGGGACGAAGCGAAAGUGACGGUACCUGGAUAAGAAGCACCGGCUAACUACGUG
RNAcentral lists this ribosomal RNA (466 nucleotides) under uncultured bacterium. RNAcentral's name for it is "partial 16S ribosomal RNA". It matches the Rfam family "Bacterial small subunit ribosomal RNA", at positions 28 to 507 of the family's 1533-position model. The record is from RNAcentral.